This 492-nucleotide ribosomal RNA is filed under the name uncultured bacterium. Its description in RNAcentral is "partial 16S ribosomal RNA". It matches the Rfam family "Bacterial small subunit ribosomal RNA", at positions 29 to 507 of the family's 1533-position model. The record is from RNAcentral.
AGUGAACGCUGGCGGUAGGCCUAACACAUGCAAGCCGAACGGCAGCACAGUAAGAGCUUGCUCUUACGGGUGGCGAGUGGCGGACGGGUGAGGAAUACAUCGGAAUCUACUUUUUCGUGGGGGAUAACGUAGGGAAACUUACGCUAAUACCGCAUACGACCUACGGGUGAAAGCAGGGGAUCUUCGGACCUUGCGCGAUUGAAUGAGCCGAUGUCGGAUUAGCUAGUUGGCGGGGUAAAGGCCCACCAAGGCGACGAUCCGUAGCUGGUCUGAGAGGAUGAUCAGCCACACUGGAACUGAGACACGGUCCAGACUCCUACGGGAGGCAGCAGUGGGGAAUAUUGGACAAUGGGCGUAAGCCUGAUCCAGCCAUACCGCGUGGGUGAAGAAGGCCUUCGGGUUGUAAAGCCCUUUUGUUGGGAAAGAAAAGCAGCAGGUUAAUACCCCGCUGUUCUGACGGUACCCAAAGAAUAAGCACCGGCUAACUUCGUG